GUCGUAAAAGAUGAACAGAAGAAAUCGGGGAAAGGGUUACUGUCUGAAGACCUUUAGAUCAAUUUAUAGUAGCGUGUAGAAUAAUUAUCCAUCCUUGGUUACUUGCUUUUCAGCCAUUAGAUCUCCUUAUGAUAAAUUGUCAAUAACCAUCGUAAGAAAAGCUGAGAACAAUAUCUAACACCAUUGAUUAAGGAAUAUGAAGAAGGAAUCAUAAAUGAAUGGAAGACUUCAAUGGCAUCUUAAGGAAUGGAAUACAUUGGAGAAAGGAGCUUUAGUCUACCUGUUAAAUCACAUGUACAGACAAGAAUAAAGCAUCGACAAAGAGAUGAGACAAACACAGUAUCAAGGCCUCAUUCAUGCAUUUUGGCCAUUUUCAAUUGUUAGUGGAGUUCCAAGAAAAAAUGAUUGAAGAUAUGAAAAAGUCAAGCAAAGUUGCGGUUUUUAGCUUUAUUCCUCGUAUCUGUUCUAUCCUCGAAGUGAUAUUCAUUUGCCAAAUGUUGAAGUCCUCACUGGACAAUGAGUCUUAACCUAUUUCACACAAACAGCUUCACCAUUCUCCAAAAUGCUGUCGUGUUUUAGUUUCUUAGUUUCAGGGCAAGCCAGCAGUUCCUCUUUUGCUUUGAUUACAGCAAAUUCAAAGCAAAAUCAUUGAAUCCUGCUUUCAUACUCAGAAACAAGACACCGUUGGGUUGGAGACACGGGGGAAGAAGAAAGGAAUUAAGAACAUCAAAUUCAAAACAAAAUCAUUGAAUCCCGAUUUCUUUCUCACAAUUUUAAAUCAUUUACCAUGCAUUUCAGUUUUGUUCCUUCUUUGCCAACUAGUACUGUUCUAAAUUCAAGAUUAUUCUGCGUAUCAUCUUCACUGGAACUCCUCAAUUUUUUUCUUCAUGAGCUCUCUGGUACGACGGCAUCAGCUUAUUUGAGAUCAAUACAACUCUUAUCCUAAUUUGUUCCACGACAUGGUAAUUAGGGGUGAGCAAGAAAACCACCACUGAAAGAAAAACAGUAUAAAUAUAAACUUUUCUUCUAACUCUAAAGGCCAAGUCAAACCCAGCCGCCGCCCUCCUCCAGGUUUUCUCUCUAUCUCAGUUCUCGCAUCUCCCCUUCUCUGGUUUCUUGUCUUCUCCAGUUUUAAGGUUCAAAGUCUCGAGAAAAAACGAAGGUAUCUAGCAAUCUUUAAAGGUAUAUCUUUCUUUAUUUUGCUCAAUUCCAUUCCUAAAUCUCCAUUUCCCGUUUGGCCAAUCUCAUGGGAACUAUUUGCUUAAAGCUCUGAAACCUAUCAAAUUGAAGCUAUCAAGCUCUUCUUCCAUUGCCAUCCACUCUGCUGGAGCAAUAAAGUAUGUUAAAAAAGCAUAUGAUGCAUUAUUGUUGGACGCUGGUGGAACACUUCUGCAAUGGACAAAGCCUAUUGAAGAAACUUACGCUUCCAUCGGGAGAAAAUAUGUUUUUUUUUCCUUCCUUUUUAUGCUAUUACUCCUAUUAUUUACGUUCGGGAUAAUAUGCUAUUUCUGGAUUAGAAUGAAGUGAUUCGCAGCAGGGGAUUUAACACUC
Long non-coding RNA from Populus trichocarpa (black cottonwood), 1551 nucleotides. RefSeq lists it as uncharacterized. The transcript has 2 exons. NCBI's taxonomy places the organism in Eukaryota, Viridiplantae, Streptophyta, Magnoliopsida, Malpighiales, Salicaceae. The record is from RefSeq and is a predicted model, not a curated record.